UUUUUUCCACUGUACAGCAUGGGGACCAAGUUACACAUACAUGUAUACAUACUUUUUCCUCCCAUUGUCGUGUUACGAUGUAAGUAUCUAGACAUAGCUCUCAAUGCUACACAGCAGGAUCUCAUUGUAAAUCCAUUCCAAGAGCAAUAGUUUGCAUCCAUUAACCCCAAGCUCCCGAUCCUCCUACUCCCUCCCUCUCCCCCCAGGCAGCCACAAGUCUAUUCUCCAAGUCCAUGAUUUUCUUUUCUGCGGAAAGGUUCAUUUGUGCUGUAUAUUAGAUACCAGAUAUGAGUGAUAUCAUAUGGUAUUUGUCUUUCUCUUUAUGACUUACUUCACUCGGUAUGAGAGUCUCUAGUUGCAUCCAUGUUGCUGCAAAUGGCAUCAUUUUGUUCUUUUUUCUGGCUGAGUAGUAUUCCAUUGUGUAUAUGUACCACACCUUCCUAACCCAAUCGUCUGUCGAUGGACAUUUGAGUUGUUUUUCCAUGUCUUGGUAAUUAUUCUUAAGGUGUCUGACUCUCACUAGACCAUGAGCUCCUCAAAGCUAGGAGCCAUGGUCUAGUCAUUUUUCUGUCAGCAGAGUUUAAAUCAUGCUACAUAACGUAUUUGUGCCUCAACAGAUCUUUGACGAAUGAAGGAAUGAAUGAGGAGUUCCUGUUGAGGCUCAGCAGGUUAAGAACCUGAAAUAGGGUCUGUGAGUUUACAGGCCUUGACCCCUGGCCUCACUCAGUGAGUUAAGGAUCCAGUGUUGCUGUCGCUGUGGCGUAGGGGGCAGCUGUAGCUCCCAUUCAGCCCCUGGCCCGGGAACCUCCAUAUGCUGCAGAUGUGGCCGUAGAAAGAAAAAAAAGUGAAGUCGCGAAGGAGUCCAAGAACAGCAGCGAGGCUGAGCCCACGCUGUGGAUGCGGGUGUUCUGCUCCGUUAGUUCCAGUAGUGAGAGGAGUGAGCUCCCACGUGGUAGCUGAGCAGCUCCACCUACGGGGAUGGAAAUAUUUCUGGGGUAGAGAGCCAGGCAUGAGAGGGACCUCUUACCACUUCUGCUAUAUUCUGUCGGUUACAGAAGAAUCUGUAAGAAACUCAGGUGUAGUUGAUUACACAAAGGCGUGAAUAUAAGGAAAGAUUCCCCCCAGGUACAGCGCUUCGGAGAAAGGGUUUCUGAGAACGCGGUCCCCUUUUACCUUAACUUUGAAGUUUUCAAGGAAACAGGAGCCUGUUCAAUUCUGCAGGCCAGAUCCCACGCUGCCCUCUUUGUAUAUAACCCUGCUUUGCUUUGAUCCUAUCAAAACAUUGGCAUUUCAUUUAAAUUUCACCUAAAUGUCACCAUCUCCCAGCAGCCUGUAACUCUUUUCUUUUGGUUUAGUGGGAUAUCCCAAAGUUUCUCCAGUUGUGCAGUCUCUCUUGUUGCAAGUGAAUGCAUCUCAUCUUGUUCUGGGGUAGAGAGCCAGGCAUGAGAGGGACCUCUUACCACUUCUGCUAUAGAGGUUUGUCCCGGAUGGGUUUGGCUGACCGGCCGGAACACCCGUCCAGCCCCUCGCUGCCAGGAACAAGUGAUCUUGGAGAGGCAGCAGCGGGCGAUGGCUUGAAGCGAGAUCUUAACCCUCUGCUCAGGAGUGGAACCUGGGCAGCCUGGGUGAAAGGCAGGGAUCCUAGCCGCUAGACCAACCAGAGGCUAGGAGCGGAAUUGCCCUGAUUCUUGUUCUCUGUUGAAAGCAAGAAUGUUUCAAGGAGGCAAAGACUGAAGAGAGGUAUAAAGUUUAUUACCAGCCCACAGAGAGGUGGUUAUUCUAUUUAAGUCAGAAGCAAAGGUGUAGUGCAGACCCUAAAGAGGAGAGCAGGUGCGGGCGACCCCUGAGUGAGGGAGGGGCGCUCCAGAGGGGAUUGAACUCGCUUGGAAAGGACACUUCCUUUUGGCCGAUUACCUUGUUUUAUUUCCCACGCCCGACUGGACACAGGACCCUCCCGAGGACGCGUGCGCGUCUCUUGGCGAAGGUGGACUCCAGGGCAGAGGGUGCCAGGACAGGGUCAGGACUUACUACGGCCUGGCGCCCCCUCCCUUUCUGACCCCUAGGAGCCUUACUGCGCAUGUGUGGUUGGGGAGCUCUCCUUGACCCCCGCAGUGACCGAGGUGGUAGCUUCUCUUUCUCCUCCAGCAGAGCUCAGCUCCCGCAGUUAACUUCCUCCUCGAGGUGACAGAGAAGCGAGGCCCAAUUUACUCAGCCUGAGAGGUCCCAGCCGUUCUCAGCCCAGGGGCCCAUCUCCCUCCUCCCUCACCAGGACUCUAGCAACAGGCACACCUGGGACCCCUGAGUUUCCCACGCUGAGGCCUCCCCCCCUCGACGGCAUGGGUUUUGUGCUGCAUCUGCUCUUUUACUAUCUCUUGGCUCUUGAGAGUCACGCUAAUUUCUUGAGUAAGUAGACAGGACUACUCCUGGGGUUGAGACCCAAAACUCUAAUAAGUGCUAUUUUUAUUUUUGACCAGCUGCCAGCUAACUUCUCAUGCGUUGCCUGCUAAUAAACUUGCCCUCCUUCCUGACAUAGCUGCACAGAGAGCGGUUUGGAAUUGCACUGGUGCCACUAAAGAACUUUGACAUAAGCAAGAUCCUUCAUUUCAGAGACGCCUUAGCAUGAAAAAGAGAAAGAACAACUCUCUCUUGAGGUGCGUUGUCUGUCUUAUUUCUGGAUGAUCAGUUAGUUUAAAGAAAGGCUCCUUCCCUUCUGAAACAUCCUUCAUUCUGAGGGAUUGAUAGAUAUUGGCUAUUUCAUUCUGUGACGAUAAAAUUGCCAAGAGUGUUACUGUUUAAACCAGUUACAAUGAUUUGAGUGCGUGUGUGUGUUUUAAUUUAUUUUAAUUAAUUUAUUUAUUUGGCCUCACCUUCGGCAUGUGGAAGCUCGUGGGCCAGGGAUCAAACUCGGGCUGCUGCAGUGACAAUGCUGGAUUCUUAAUCGAGUUGCCACAAGGAAACUCCUGGACGUGUGUUUUGAAAUGGGUUUUUCUAAAUCUAAAGUUUUCCCUCUCUUUGAAGCAGAGAUUACUAGACUGUCUCCAAUGAUAAUUUUGUCUAAAGCUGGUUCCCUUUUACUUUUUUUCCUUCUGGCUCUUCACUCUUACUCCAUCUCCUGAGAAAUUUUAAAGGUGAAUUGACCAGAAAAAAAUCAGGAGAUUCCCUUGUGGCUCAGUGGUAACAAAUCCAACUAGUAUCCAUGAGGACGUGGGUUCAACCCCUGGUCUCACUCCGUGGGUCGGGGAUCCAGUGUUGCUGUGAGCUGUGGUGUAGGUUGCAGACACAGCUCAGAUCCUGUGUUCCUCUGGGCUGUGGUGUAGGCCAGCGGCUAUAGCUCUGAAUCAACCCCUAGCCUGGGAACCUCUGUAUGCUGCGGGUGCUGCCCUAAAAAGAAAAAAGAAAUGCUGAAGGUAAAAAACAUAAAAUGUAUUUCCCUCAUGGUUCAGCAGGUUAAGGAUCCGGCAUAUUCACUGCUGUGGCUCUGGUUACAGCUGUGGCACGGAUUCAGUCCUUGGCCCAGGAACUUCCACAUGCCCUGGGUACUGCCAAAAAAAUAAAAAGAUAAACAAAUAAAAUUAUUUCUAAGUUCUUAGUUAAAAUAUUAAGACCUUAGGAAAUAAGG
This 3619-nucleotide long non-coding RNA is filed under the name Sus scrofa (pig). Its description in RNAcentral is "lncRNA (ENSSSCG00030005687.1)". Lineage: Eukaryota; Metazoa; Chordata; Mammalia; Artiodactyla; Suidae. The record is from RNAcentral.